UAAAGAAUAUUGGACAAUGGGGGAAACCCUGAUCCAGGCAUACCGCGUGUGUGAAGAAGGCCCUAGGGUUGUAAAGCACUUUAAGCAAUGAAGAAGAUAUUAAAGUUAAUACCUUUAAUAUUUGACGUUAAUUGCAGAAUAAGUACCGGCUAACUCCGUGCCAGCAGCCGCGGUAAUACGGAGGGUACAAGCGUUAAUCGGAAUUACUGGGCGUAAAGCGCGCGUAGGCGGUUUAGUAAGUUGUAUGUGAAAGCCCCGGGCUCAACCUGGGAACUGCAUACAAAACUACUAAACUAGAGUACGAGAGAGGAGAGUAGAAUUUGAAGUGUAGCGGUGAAAUGCGUAGAUAUUUCAAGGAAUACCAAUGGCGAAGGCAGCUCUCUGGCUCGACACUGACGCUGAGGUGCGAAAGCGUGGGUAGCAAACAGG
RNAcentral lists this ribosomal RNA (429 nucleotides) under uncultured bacterium. RNAcentral's name for it is "bacterial SSU rRNA". It matches the Rfam family "Bacterial small subunit ribosomal RNA", at positions 355 to 776 of the family's 1533-position model. The record is from RNAcentral.